GAUUUUGGUCCUUUGGUUUGGGCUUCUCUUGUCUUUUGGCUUUGAGGGGUCCGGAUAGCAUUUGUCUUGUGAUUCUCCUAGCAUCAUUGACUUGUAUAAUUUUGUAAAAGUAAAAAUAAAAAUAAAAAUGAAACAAAAAUAAAAUAUUAGACUAAUAAAUAAAUAAAUAAUUGAAAAUAAAAAAUGCAAAUAAAACAAACAUAAGGCAUAUAU
This 213-nucleotide long non-coding RNA is filed under the name Lathyrus oleraceus (garden pea). Its description in RNAcentral is "Pisum sativum (pea) long non-coding RNA (PSAT_LNC018183)". Lineage: Eukaryota; Viridiplantae; Streptophyta; Magnoliopsida; Fabales; Fabaceae. The record is from RNAcentral.